GAUUCGCACACCAUGGCAGCGGUGGUGUCGGCGCUUCAUGGCGGGGUCGAAAUUUAAAACCCCGGGGCUUAACAGCAAUAUUGUCCUUGUCAGAAAUGUUCGCAGAAGUUAAAAGACACCGGGACGAUCGCGUCCAACGACAGGAGGAGCUCGGAAAUUCACUGAGAAAGAACAACGCCCUCCUGUAAGCUGUGAGGAAGAGACACCGGGAGAACCUCGUCCUUUUAAAACUGAAGAAGAAAAGUAGAUCUACGAACCAGUAAGACUCAUUUUUCUUUUUAUUCUGUGUGUUUUGGAAGGCCGCCGCGCCGCUCUCUCACAAACACGCACACAUGCACACACACUGACUUACAUCCUCCCCUCUCUCUGUCUUUGCUGUGUAUUGAAGGUGGAUUGUCGUGGUCGCCGUGUCAUGACUGUUUGUUUGUCUCAUCAGCUUGAAAUGUUUUAUUUUAUGUGUGUUAUAUGUCUUUACUUGGCCGCCGCGCCAUGACUAUUUUUUACAACACCCGUUUGACCGACAUAGCCAUAGUCUGCGCAUCCAAUUUGACCAUGGCCACCAAAUUAUUCCGUCUGUCCAACAUGGCCACCCAUUCGUUUGUCUCUCUUUGUGUGUCUAUUUCUCUCUGUUUUUUCUUCUGUGUUGAGGAACAGAUAGCAGAUCUCUUAAUUGUGUCGGAAGGGAUGGCCUUCCAACACAAUUGGAGCAUUUAGAAGCCUUGUUGUUUGGAUAGUGAGCUUAUUUAGGACUGCUGAGUGGUUGGGAGCUUGGAGAGAAAUUCUGUCCCCUUGUUUGUUGGACCUAAAUACACACUAAGACAAAGACUGGCUUUGGUUUUGCUAAACUAGUGAUAGUGUGACCAGAAAGAUUGAGAUGUAGGAUCAGAGCUGGAUUGGUGUGGUGCAGAAAGGGACUUUUCCAGAGGUCUGUGGUGGGUCAGACAGGUUUUUUUUUUUAAGUCAGAUAUUUGGUAGUUUAUUGGUCCUUUAGCUACAAUAUAUGAUGAUGAUGAUAGGAAUGGAGAGCUUUUGUAGUGUGGUAUAAAGAAGGGUGGUAAACGUCAGAAGUUGUAUAGAAGGUGCCUUGUCUUGGUCGCUGUUCCGUGACUUUAGAUUGAUGUCUGUCUAAUAAGCUUGGAUGAAUAUUUAUGCACUAAUCCCUUUUCCUUUUUAGGUAAAUCUACAAUCGGUGAGUCCCAUUUUUAUAUUCUUUCAUUCUAUGUUGUGUUUUUGGAUGGUUGCUGUGCCUUCCUGCUUAUGUUUGUAGUACAGCUGAACAAUUAAAUAUUAGGUACAGAGUCUGUGUGUGUAUAUGACAGAGAUAGUAUAG
Molecule: long non-coding RNA, 1330 nt
Organism: Lates calcarifer (barramundi perch)
Lineage: Eukaryota; Metazoa; Chordata; Actinopteri; Centropomidae
Exons: 3
Source: RefSeq, a predicted model, not a curated record